AACGAACGCUAGCGGCAUGCCUCAAACAUGCAAGUCGUACGCGAAAGUCCCUUCGGGGGCAAGUAGAGUGGCGCACGGGUGAGUAACACGUAACUAACGUACCCUCUCGCUGGGGAUAACCCCGGGAAACCGGGGCUAAUACCGAAUGAGCUGUCGAGGUCUGCGGACCUUGCCGGCAAAGCUGUAAGGCGCGAGAGGAUCGGGUUGCGGUCCAUUAGCUUGUUGGUGGGGUAACGGCUCACCAAGGCGACGAUGGAUAGCUGGUCUGAGAGGAUGAUCAGCCACACUGGAACUGAAACACGGUCCAGACUCCCACGGGAGGCAGCAGUUGGGAAUAUUGGACAAUGGGGGAAACCCUGAUCCAGCAAUGCCGCGUGAGUGAUGAAGGCCCUCGGGUCGUAAAGCUCUUUCAGCGGGGACGAAGGGUAACUUGACGGUACCCGCAGAAGAAGCACCGGCUAACUACGUG
RNAcentral lists this ribosomal RNA (469 nucleotides) under uncultured bacterium. Its description in RNAcentral is "bacterial SSU rRNA". It matches the Rfam family "Bacterial small subunit ribosomal RNA", at positions 29 to 507 of the family's 1533-position model. The record is from RNAcentral.